Molecule: long non-coding RNA, 559 nt
Organism: Cygnus olor (mute swan)
Lineage: Eukaryota; Metazoa; Chordata; Aves; Anseriformes; Anatidae
Exons: 3
Source: RefSeq, a predicted model, not a curated record
CGGAUGGGGAGAGGACAGAGCACAGGGGCACGGGGCUUUUCUGCCCGCUGCCAGCCCGCGGCCACACGCACACGGUGGCUGGGCACGUGCCCCUCUAAUCGAGGGUGGGUGCCUCCUGCUGCAGGUGUGCCCUGCCCCUGGGCCGGCUGGGGCUGCAGGCAUGGAGGCAGAGCAUCCUCGGCGGAGGCCUCGUGCGCCGUGGCAGAAAUCCGAUAGCCUACAGCUGCACGUCUUUUAAUUGCUCCUUGAGUAAACGCCCGGAGCCUGGGGGCUCGCUCCCAAUAAGUCCGGAUUUUCUCCACUUAGUGAAUCUCAUCCCAAUGGUCUCUUCUAAAGCUCACGAUUUCCACCCGUGGAGCCACAGCCUGCUGAAGACACUUUGGUAUGACACGAUGCAUCAUAUCAUGAGGAAUAAUAAAUGAACAUCAUUGUGCUCAGAUUACACAGCUUGAGCUGAAAGAUCAGGCCGUGAGGUCGAGAGAAUCUCUCAGCCAAGACAAAUGACCCGAGGCGAGGAGGGCAGGCCGUGGUUUUACCGCCCGCCGCCUCCUGGCCUGGA